RNAcentral lists this transfer RNA (93 nucleotides) under Staphylococcus carnosus. Its description in RNAcentral is "tRNA-Ser". It matches the Rfam family "tRNA". From Rfam's summary of the family: Transfer RNA (tRNA) molecules are approximately 80 nucleotides in length. Their secondary structure includes four short double-helical elements and three loops (D, anti-codon, and T loops). Lineage: Bacteria; Bacillati; Bacillota; Bacilli; Caryophanales; Staphylococcaceae. RNAcentral also lists the same sequence under 1 other name. The record is from RNAcentral.
GGAGAAGUACCCAAGCAUGGUUGAAGGGAUCGGUCUCGAAAACCGACAGGAGCUUAACGGCUCGCGGGGGUUCAAAUCCCUUCUUCUCCGUCA